Long non-coding RNA from Anolis carolinensis (green anole), 7653 nucleotides. RefSeq lists it as uncharacterized. The transcript has 2 exons. NCBI's taxonomy places the organism in Eukaryota, Metazoa, Chordata, Lepidosauria, Squamata, Anolidae. The record is from RefSeq and is a predicted model, not a curated record.
UCCCUGCUUUUAAUGUCACUAUUACUGUCAGAGAGCUGAAAAUUAUUUUGAAAAAAACACAUUUAUUUCUUUUCUUCUCCAGGUCCUGUUUUGUUUGACUUUGUAGAGACUUGCUGUUGUUCAUGAAACAAUAGCAGACCAUUUUAAUGCCGGUGACUGAAUCCCUGUGCCCUUGGCUCCUAACUGCAGCUUCGAUGCUGACUUGCGUGCGACCUCAAUGGGUUCAUACACAAUGUGGAUCAUCUUUAGUGCACUGAUGUGUACAGUGCAAAUAGUGUUCGAACCCCCUGCAGAGGGAAAAUAUUGCACAAGAGGGAAAAUAUUUCCCUCCCAAUGUAUAAGCCUGAUUGAAAGACAUGGGAGUGGAAGAAAAAUAGCAUUAAGUGGCAUCUCCUUUGUAGAAGGGUCUCCACUGGGACUGUCUGGUGGCACUUACUUUGCUGUCCUUCUGAAGCAAGGUGAACAUAUGUGCUUCUGUGCAUGUAUAAUGGGCUGUAACUUUUUCUAUUGCUUGCCAUCACUCUAUACUCAUCCUUUUUAAAGUGCAGAGAGGAGCUUAACACUAGUAAGCAGGUUGUUCUCAAUUUUGACUACUUGUAAGUACUUGGAGGUGGACGCAAAUUACUCUCUCCAUCCAUUAUAAUCUUUAAAAUCUUUAAAUAUCCCCUUGAAAACCUAAUAUCUAAAUAGAAGUGCCCUCCAAAUAUUGCUUACUUCCAAGCACAUAGAGCAAAUGACAUCCUUUCAUUGUUCUUGGAAGUGCUCAGUAACAAAGUCUUAAUUUUUCAUAUUCCACUCAUGAACUGCAAUCCUAUACCAAUUUCCUGGGGAAAGGGACUCCAAUGUUUUUUGUUUUUUCCUGGCAUAUUGAGUUAUGCUUACAGUCUAUUACAGAAUUGUAAUUAUUGCAGAAGCAUAUUCUAAUGUAUAUCCGUCUAUAUAUAACACUACGGUAAGUUUGCAUAAUGUUCAUAUUGAGAAAACCUCUGUUUGGUGAACUUUGCAAAUGUAUGUUUUGUAACUAUUAUAUUUGAAAAUUUAAAAUAUACCCCUUAAACUGUCCAGUGGUUUGAAAAAUGGACAGUGUUUAUUUUCUUAUUGUACUAGCUUACUACUAAUUUAAAUAUAAAGGUCUCAUAGCGCUUUUGAGUAUUUUUGUUACUUUUCCAAGAGAAACAACUCAUCUCUAAUUAGCAUUAAGACACCGGAGGCCUCUCCCGCAAUUUUAGCAGCUGGCGCUUUAAUCCUCAGAUGGAGCUUUACUGUUGAUUUGUAUUGAAAGGCAGAGAAUAAAAAUGAAUGAACGGCCUAUCACAUCACAUUAGUUAUGCAGAAUGACAUGGGGGUUUUUUCAUAAAGAAAAAAAAAUACCCAAGAGACCCCUUGGUACUCUGUCACUCAGCUUAAAACAUUUUGCACACAAGCGGUGAAUGUUAGAGAAGAUCCUAUUUACUUAUGUUUAUGGCCCAGAUUUUCAUAGAAUCCAACUGUAAUAGACAGAGAGAAAAGGAAAGAAGUCUUGUGUCCCAUAUCCUUCAUAUUUUUUCUGUUAUUUGUAGGAAGACCCUGAUGAUGCUUCAUUGAUUUCCAGUCAGAUCAAUUCAUUUUGGUGAAAGAGAAUUGCUUAGCAUAGACAUCUGGCUGUCACCUCAUUCAAUUUUAAGAUGAUGCAAGGCAAAAAAUUCUUGAACAUGAAAUCACUCCAAAUAGAGGUUGUCUUUAGACAGAGAAAUGUCCUCUGGCAACCCUUCAAAUGGAGAACAGUCCUUUGCAAAGUGGGAUAUAUGGCCAACCUGUGAGAUGCAUAGCCAUAAUAUACAGAUGGCACCAGAUCCUUUUUGAUGUUGGAAACUAAGCAUCAUGAAACCUAUUUAGUUCUUGGAAGGGAGACCACCGAAAAAUGCUAAAUGUUAUAGGCUAUAUAUUCAGAAAAAGGCAAUGGCAAAACCUUAUCUGAAUAAAUAUUGCCAAGAAAGCUCCAUGAUGGGGUCACUAUGAGCUGGAUUCAACUCAAAGGCACAGGGCAGCAAUAGGAUACACAAUUUAUUUGAUGUCAGCCUAUAGUGCAUCUCCUUAUAGAGGUAUGUACAAUCUGUUUGUGAGGAAAUGACUGCAUAAAUUAUCUUAGGAAGCAGUUAAACUGUCUUAUUGACUUGUUUUUUAAAAAUAGGAUUGAUAGAACUAUCCUAAAUACUUUGAAUGUCCAUGCUCUGUAUGCAUUUCAAGUACAUUUCACUUCAAGUGUUGAAGUUUGGGACCCAAAAGAAAGGUUUCAAAUAAGAACACAAUUCCAUUGGUGGUCUCCUUAAUGACAAUUCUUGAUACCACUGAUUAGAUGACAAUCCUUCAAGCGUUAUCAGUUUUUAAUUCAGAAUCUAAAUUGUUCCAAAACAGAUCCAUUGUUUGUUUCAAAUGUUUCUAGGCACACAUGUGUUUUUAAAAGCACAAGAUGUGAUGAUAAGAUUAUCACAGGUGACAUGGCAUUGUAUUGCAAAAUUUCUUCUGCCCUUGUCCGAUCUAAGGAGGAAGACAGACAAAUAUGCUGUAUCAUAAUACAGCUAGCUACAGAGGUCCUUGAACUACUUCUAAAAGACAUCAUGUUGUAUCCUCCCCCAAUGUUGCCAAGGAAACCAGUUUAGUGUAAAAUGAAUUCUUUGUCUCCCGCUCUUUGUGAAAUUGUUUGAGCCAUCCUAUCUCAUAAAAUGUUGCUUCCCAGGUGAUUCUGAGCAGUAUUAAGUAUACAUUUGGUGGAUGGGGAGUCUAAUCUCCAAUUUGAUGCACCAAUGAAGAUGGUUCCAUUUAUCAGAAGCUUGAACAUUUUAGAUUAUAUUUCCUGAAAAAUGAUAAGAUUAUAUUCUUUUUCUAAGGCAUGUCUGAAAUAAAACCUGUGAUCUUUCUUGUAUUUCAUUUCCAUUUUUAAAAACUAUAGCUCCUCUUUGCUUACAAGCCAUUGAAACAGUGGGAGAAAUAAUUUAAAUAUUAUCUGUAAGUUUUUGGUGAGGAUUUCCAGGAGAGAAAUAUAUCUUACAUGCUACUUAUCAAAAACAGAUUGAACACGAGAAUGGAGAGACUGAACAUAAUUCAUUGUUUUAUGUACAUGGAGGUCAUGUAUAUAAUGUUUUAAGAGGGCAAAGUAAAGAUUACACUUUCAUGUGUGGAGAUAGUCAUGGCCCUUUUCCAGCUUCAGCUUUCACUGACUAUGCAAAAUCUGCCCAUAUAUAUAGGCUUUCUCAACAUUUCAGCUCUAAAAUAAAUUCAGUUAUUAAUGUUGGAUAUCUUAGGGCAGAUGGAAAGUCUCUGAUCCUCAAAUGUUCUGUGAUUUAUUGCUUUCUGUGUUUAGAAGUUUCUUUGCAAUCUUGUGGUUUUGCACCUGUGACAUCUUCUUUUGUAACUUUUUCUUUCUAUUUUUUGAAAUUACAAAAAUAGAAUAAAGGAUUAUGCCCAGUUGGUUGUUUGGAUUUCCACCUGUUUGUAUCAUUCUCUACUAUGAUAAGGCAUGAAAGGAACUCAUGGCAUAAGGCAUUCCACAACAGAAUAGCCUGAGUUUUGGACUUCCAUUCACGUUUCUCCUUCUGUUUAAGCAUUAUUUAAUUGUAAGUUCAGACACAUUAUCUGAGUACCUGCAUUAUAUUUUGUUUUGCUUCAACUGUGCAUACUUAACUUUGUUUAUUUACCUUAUUAAUUACAUGAUUGUAUGUUGAAGAGUUGAUGUAAUUAAUAUUGAACAGAGCCUGAUUGGUAUGGGGAAAAUGAAAGCAGAAUUACAAUAGGAAUGCAUUUAAUUUUCUCAUUUCCUCCAAUGAGACAAAAUCACAUAAAAGUCACCCAAUUAAUUUCAUGGGAAAUUGAGAACUACAAGCUGGAUCUUCAAAAUCUGAGUCCAACACUAUUAUCAUUUUAUUAUAGUAUUAUUUAUUUCGUGUCAAAAGCAUUGCAUAAAUGAAUAAGAUCAGAGGCAGCUAAAUAAAUUUAGACCCAAAACAGGCAACAGUGACUACAUUGUCUGUAGCUUUAACAAGUUCUUCCUUUGUACAUGAGGCAGGGCAUUGUGGGCAAGCAUACAGAUGCUGAAUUUUUUGUUCUGCUCCACAGUUACACAAGGUGGAGCAUUCUUCUAGAUAGUGCCUUUUGGCCAGUUUGUCUUUUGAUCUGCCAACUCCAUUUCUGAGUCCAUUUAGGGACUUUCAAGUUGCCCAUUCUUGGUUUUCCCCUGGAGGAAGAACCUCGUGGGGGGCCAUCAAGUUGGAAUUGCCUGAUUUUGUUGCCCACAGGGAUAUUCUUGCCGUUGCUGGAAGAACAUUUAGAGGAGUGGUUGUUCUCAUGAAACUUUUCCUUGAUUUAAGUCUACUGGAAGGAGGCUGAUAGCCAUACUGUGGGUAGCUUUCACAGUGUUUAACCUUAUUUCUCUCACAAUUGGCGGCAAUUUUCCAUUGCACAUCAAGGGAGGGGGCAAUGUCAUUUAUCUUAUAAAGUCUAUCCACAGGUGUAGGUUUGAGACAUCCUGUGAUUUUUCUACAUGUCUCAUUCAAUGCUAUAUUCACCUGCUUUGCAUGGGCAAACGGGGCAGGCAUACUCAGAAGAUGAGCAGGACAAAGCCAGGGCUGAAGUGCUUAUUAAUUUUGGGUUUGCACCCAAAACUUUAUUAUAGUGAGACCCUCUAACCUCAUUAUAAAGGGCGAAAAUCAGUGGCAUAUGCUGGUUUAACCCAGGUCACCCACGGAGCCCACUGGCUCCUAUCAAAUGACACCAUCGGGGAUCUGUGGAUGAAGUAGGAUGGAGCCGAUGCAUACCACUGCUGCAGCAACACAGGAGGCUUCCUGUGUUGCCAUAGGAAGCUACAGGGAGAAGCGUGGGCCAUCCAAAAACAUAUAGAUAUGCCUCUAACAGGAUAACAGGAUGCUGACCUGUGUGUAUUGCUGCAGUGGAAAAUCGCCUUGAGAUACUACAGAUGAUCUAUCCGUUAUACUUGCCCAUUCUGGUCAACUUUAUUAUGCUUCCCUUCUAUUUUGGGAUGCAACUUUCCUUCUGAGGGCCUCUAGCUAAGGAGUAUUAUUGAUUUGUUUUCUCCCUUUUAAUAUUUAUGUUUCAGUUGUUCUGUUUGAAAGGCUGCCAGCCACGUUGUCUGUAUCAGUGUUGGGACUCCCAAAUGCAUUUUGGCCCGUAAAAGAACCAACUCAUCUAAUUGAAUUAACUCUGUUCUGCUUAAUAGAGUUUGUCAUGAAACACUAAGUAGAUGUGACAAUGAUCACAAUAAAUCAUACUUUGUAUCUGCUCUCUGGAUAUUAACUAUUAACUGGCUGCUUAGAGAUGUAUCCCUCUUUCAGAUUGGGUAUCUAUCUACAUGUAGGUCAAUCUUCUUACACAGAUGGAUACAAUAUCACAAAGAGACGGCUAACUUGAAGUUUGAAUAUUGGCAAUGAACUUGUCUAAUUAAGAAAUGCAGAUGGCUCGUGCUACCUAGCAAUUUUCACCUUGCUUGAUGCAACUCCAAUUAUAAGCCUUCCCUGCAGACGUAACACUGUAUAAAUCAUGAAAUCAGGAGGUUGGAUAUCUAUUCACCUGUUCACAAAGAUAAGUCAAAUACAUUGUUCUUUUUCUAUGUAAAGCAUGUGAUCAUUGUUUUAAUAUCAGUCUUGAAAAGUUCAUUUAAAAGCGAGGGGAACAUAUUAAUGAUUUUUUCAGACAAAGCCCAGCUGAAUAAUAUCUAUAAGGUUUUGGAGAACAUAAUGAAAAUGGAUGGAAAUUUUGUAAGAGAAACACACUAAUGUUUUGUGUCAGCAUCAAUUAUGCUAGACAAAUUUUAUAUGGACUGCCCUUUUAAUUACAGGUGAGAGUAAAAUUACAGAAAAUGGUGUGUAGUUGGAUAAGACAGAUAACUGGGUCUUAAACAGACAUUGUUAUUAAUUUGUUGUAAUGUCAGGUCCUCAAAUAUCAUGCACUAAGGAGUAAAAUAUGCACACUUUUAAAAAAAGUGUUAUUCUUUUGCCACCAGGCAUAAUUAAAGGGACUUCUAGGUGCAAUUCUACCCAAUCCUGGACAUUGGAUUGGCCUCAUAUGGAUGCUGGAUUGGAAAUCACAGAACCACCUUGGAAGUGGUAAGGAGGCCUGGCUUCCUAGCUAUGCAAGCAUGGUUCAGCAAUCAGACUGACCACAAGAACAUUGAUGACAGUCAUGACACGGGGGGUGCGGAUGACAGAGGACUGCCAUCCCACAUCCCUGAGCCACCCCAUUCUGGAGAACAUGGGAUGGCAAUCAAGACACGUGUCUGGUUCUGCUUUGGAACUGGCACAGCUGAGUUGACUGCCCUGAACUCAGGGGAGAACCCAAAUCCUGGGCUAGGAUUUGAGUUUCCCCUGAGUUAGCUAGAUCAGCCCCGAGUUUGCUCCUAGGCAAGAAUUUGGGUUUUCCCCUGAGUAAGCUUGAUCAGGCCUGUGCAGUGUUCAGCUACCAUGGGGUUGAUACAUUUACAUACUGACCUACAUGGUCAGAGUACAUGUGCCCUUAAAUAAGCAGAAAUGUCACACACAACAAAGUGCAACAGAUAUAAAAGAGUACCUAACCAAUUUACUCCCAUAUCUUCAAGUGCAACUUGGAAAAUGGGAUCACAAAAUCAUACUGCUGCCAUUAUCUAGACCAGUGGUUUCCAAACUUUGGUUCUGCAGGUGUUUUGGACUUCAGCUCUCACAAUUCCUAACAUCUGAUAAUCUGACUGGGAUUUUUGGGAGUUGAAGUCCAAAACAACUGGAGGACCAAAGGUCAGGAACCACUGAUCUAGACAAUUGUGGAAGAUUUGUACCAAGCUAUCUUUAUUUUUACUUCAUGCUUUCAUAUUUUUUUGGUUUGGGUUUUCUGUAUUGGCAUUGGAGUGAAGCAAAACUAGAGUAUUGUGACACUAGAUUGUGGUGGUGAUGAUGACGACGACGACGAUAUUUAUUUCUACCCUACUUUUCUCCCCAUAGGAACUCAAGGUGACAAAAAAUUAAACAUACCUAAUACAAAUUUAAAGUAAGACAUACAUUUUUUUAAAAAAAAUAAUUAAAACAUUUGUUGUUUAUACAUAGGUUAAAAGAAAUGCCAUUAAAAUUACAUUCAAACCCCUAAUACCCCCAGCAUCUCAUCCACAACCUUCUCAGUAGUGUGUCCAUCCUCCCUCAAUGCCUGAUGGGAAAUAAAUGUCUUAACCUGCUUAUGAAAUACAAGCAGGGAUGAGGAAGGAGUUUCCAGAUGACUAAUAGGUGAAUUGUGCCAUGAGCUUUUGUGUACCAGAUUCCAUUCUUUGCUUGCUUUCAGAAAGUGAGAUUCUGGUUGGCAGAGAUACAACAGAAAUUGUAAAUACUAGGCUGAAAAGCACAUUUUAUAUUCAGAACUCAUAUACACGAAGGAAAGAGAUCCAUGCUUUAAGGAAUUCCCCCCAUCCUCACAGCCUCUUUUUCUGAGAACAAUUUUGUUGUCACAAUUUUCCCUGUGUAAUGGAAUAGAAACCUGUGAUUCAAAAUGCCAUUGCAACAUUUGCUGAUCAUUUGUUAUCCUGGAGUCCCCCUUUGCAGUUUUUCUCACAAUAAUGUACAUUCUCAAAUUGAUGAUAUUUUAUGUAUCUGACAAAGUUGUCCAUGAAAUGUUAUGCCUCAAUAAACCUGAAAGUCCUGAAAGGUA